RNAcentral lists this unclassified non-coding RNA (1565 nucleotides) under Bombus terrestris (buff-tailed bumblebee). Its description in RNAcentral is "misc RNA ENSBTSG00005025377.1". The record is from RNAcentral. Lineage: Eukaryota; Metazoa; Arthropoda; Insecta; Hymenoptera; Apidae.
GGGCAUAGAGAGUUCCUCGCGCUAUAACCUGGCUCGCGAACGAACCAGCCUGCUUUGGCUGGCGGAUCGUUUUACACGACGCAUAGAGACGCCAAAAACACGUACAGACAGCGGAGUGGCUCGCAAUUAGGGAACAAGAGGAUGCUCAUCUAGAAAAGAGAGAGCACGACUGCGAACCAAAAAGAGGGUGGCACAGAGCUGAAGUCCAAAGACAGAGAGAGAGAGAGAGAGAGAGAGAUGGUCUCGACUUGUCUAUCGAACAAGGCGUAUGGAAAGAGACGGAGAAACAGAGUCGGUGCAUGUUCGAAAGACAAGCUCACGGCACGAGGGCCAACAGAAAGAGAGGAAGGGAGAGGAAGAGAGAUCUGGAUGAGGCGAAUUCCAAAAGAGAUGUGCUUUUAAUUAUACUAACGCCCGGUGUCCGAUUAAAUGAACGGAAGAGCCAAACUCACGAAGCGCAGUGCAAAUUUAAUUAUAGGGAAAAGGGCAGGCUAGAGAGGGCAGAGGGGAAGGCAAGUGCAAGAGAGAGAGAGAGAGAGAGAGAGAGAGAGAGAGAGAGAGAGUGAGAGAAGGAGGAAGAGAGAGAGGGCGUUCAAACACUGAUAAGAGACUCAAUUAUCGAACUAUCACAGGGAGGCUCGUUCCGUUUGCAUUUCCAAUUAUUUGCUGGGAAACGGUCUGCCAAUACCGGGUACUCUCGAUAACGCUGCCCUCUCGCUUCUCGAGCUGCCUCCGCUAACGGCUUUCCACAACCUCUCCUUCAUUCUGUCUCUUUUCUGUUUUUCCCAGAGCCACUAUGCUCGUCUCGCUCCUCGUGACAGACCAUUUGACUUGCUCGCGCCGCGAUUCGCGAGUCGCUCGCAUCAUCCUCGCGACCCACCCCUAACUUGUCCUCCUCUGAUACGGAUACCAUCGUCCACGGAAAAUGCCGUAUAAUUACGUAAAUCGGAUUAACGAUUUAUAAUCGUCCGCGUCAUGGCAGAUUAAUUGGACAAAUUCCUCGUUCGAUGAUUUCGAGUUUCCAACGAGGUGACGUGUUUCGACGGGAUUUAUGAUUUUGGACUUUUGACAUUUUGGCGGGUUUGACGCCUUCAGCGGCGAGUAACUUUCGCGAACGUACGCAUCCGGAGACCGAGCUUUCUCGAGCGAUAAUUUCUCCAAAUUUAUCAAAAUUAGAUCCACGGUAUUAAAAUAUUCGCUUAUUGCGAACGAACGGAACAACUUUUAAUUUGAUAAUUUACUAACAACUUCAGCAUUUUAAAGUUCGUUGCUGUAUACAUACUUACAGGAAUCGUGCAUUUCGUAACACGAUGGAACGUAUUAAUACUUGAAUUUGCGGCUAUUAUCAUGUUAUUCAAAUUUAAUAUGAAAUUAACCAAUUUGAUUAUUUGUGAUUAAUGCAAAUUGCGGUUUGAAAUUCACGUUCCAUAGUGAAUUAUCGGAAAUAAUUUGAGAAACAAACUGUGCGUGAUAUAUGUAUAACACAUUUCGAUAGAUACGUAACAGUAUAUCCUUCAAAUAUUCUUUUCUCAUUUCUAAUUACAAUAUAAUUAUUAUUCAACACG